UACGAAGGGGGCUAGCGUUGUUCGGAAUUACUGGGCGUAAAGCGCACGUAGGCGGAUAUUUAAGUCAGGGGUGAAAUCCCGGGGCUCAACCCCGGAACUGCCUUUGAUACUGGGUAUCUAGAGUCCAGAAGAGGUGAGUGGAAUUCCGAGUGUAGAGGUGAAAUUCGUAGAUAUUGGGAAGAACACCGGUGGCGAAGGCGGCGACCUGGUCUGAUACUGACGCUGAGGCGCGACAGCGUGGGGAGCAAACAGG
This 253-nucleotide ribosomal RNA is filed under the name uncultured bacterium. RNAcentral's name for it is "partial 16S ribosomal RNA". It matches the Rfam family "Bacterial small subunit ribosomal RNA", at positions 524 to 776 of the family's 1533-position model. The record is from RNAcentral.